GACAGAGGUCCCGAGCGUUAGGCGGAAUCACUGGGCUUAAAGCGUGUGUAGGCGGACUUCUAAGUACCUUGUGAAAUCCCACGGCUCAACCGUGGAACUGCUUGGUAUACUGGUUGUCUUGAGCCACUUAGGGGCAGUCGGAACAGACGGUGGAGCGGUGAAAUGCGUAGAUAUCGUCUGGAACGCCAAAGGUGAAAACAGACAGCUGGGAGUGUGCUGACGCUGAGACACGAAAGCCAGGGGAGCGAACGGG
RNAcentral lists this ribosomal RNA (253 nucleotides) under uncultured bacterium. RNAcentral describes it as "partial 16S ribosomal RNA". It matches the Rfam family "Bacterial small subunit ribosomal RNA", at positions 524 to 776 of the family's 1533-position model. The record is from RNAcentral.